GAUGAACGCUAGCGGCAGGCUUAACACAUGCAAGUCGAGGGGUAUAGUAGCAAUACUAGAGACCGGCGCACGGGUGCGUAACGCGUAUGCAAUCUACCUUUUGCAGAGGGAUAGCCCCAGAGAAAUUUGGAUUAAUACCUCAUAGUAUAGUACUUUGGCAUCAAGGAACUAUUAAAGUCACAACGGCAAAAGAUGAGCAUGCGUCCCAUUAGCUAGUUGGUAAGGUAACGGCUUACCAAGGCUACGAUGGGUAGGGGUCCUGAGAGGGAGAUCCCCCACACUGGUACUGAGACACGGACCAGACUCCUACGGGAGGCAGCAGUGAGGAAUAUUGGACAAUGGGCGCAAGCCUGAUCCAGCCAUGCCGCGUGCAGGAUGACGGUCCUAUGGAUUGUAAACUGCUUUGUACAGGAAGAACACUACUUCGUGAAGUAGCUUGACGGUACUGUAAGAAUAAGGAUCGGCUAACUCCGUGCCAGCAGCCG
RNAcentral lists this ribosomal RNA (485 nucleotides) under uncultured bacterium. RNAcentral describes it as "bacterial SSU rRNA". It matches the Rfam family "Bacterial small subunit ribosomal RNA", at positions 28 to 517 of the family's 1533-position model. The record is from RNAcentral.